This is a transfer RNA of Pseudogymnoascus sp. 23342-1-I1, 102 nucleotides long. It matches the Rfam family "tRNA". From Rfam's summary of the family: Transfer RNA (tRNA) molecules are approximately 80 nucleotides in length. Their secondary structure includes four short double-helical elements and three loops (D, anti-codon, and T loops). Further hydrogen bonds mediate the characteristic L-shaped molecular structure. tRNAs have two regions of fundamental functional importance: the anti-codon, which is responsible for specific mRNA codon recognition, and the 3' end, to which the tRNAs corresponding amino acid is attached (by aminoacyl-tRNA synthetases). tRNAs cope with the degeneracy of the genetic code in two manners: having more than one tRNA (with a specific anti-codon) for a particular amino acid; and 'wobble' base-pairing, i.e. permitting non-standard base-pairing at the 3rd anti-codon position. NCBI's taxonomy places the organism in Eukaryota, Fungi, Ascomycota, Leotiomycetes, Thelebolales, Thelebolaceae. The record is from Rfam.
GCUCCAAUGGCGCAAUGGUAGCGCGCAAGACUUCUACUAUAGGCACUAAUUAUAGUCUCUCUGUUCAUCUUGAGGUUGAGGGUUCGAGCCCCUCUUGGAGUG